AAUUAAUGAUCUUGAAUAAGUCUAGUUUUGAAAA
This 34-nucleotide transfer RNA is filed under the name Monomorium sp. ABZI.07/SW/01. RNAcentral describes it as "partial tRNA-Ser". The record is from RNAcentral. Lineage: Eukaryota; Metazoa; Arthropoda; Insecta; Hymenoptera; Formicidae.